This 253-nucleotide ribosomal RNA is filed under the name uncultured bacterium. RNAcentral describes it as "partial 16S ribosomal RNA". It matches the Rfam family "Bacterial small subunit ribosomal RNA", at positions 524 to 776 of the family's 1533-position model. The record is from RNAcentral.
UACGUAGGGGGCGAGCGUUGUCCGGAGUUACUGGGCGUAAAGGGCAUGCAGGCGGUCGGACGCGUUUCGGGUGACAGCGGGUGGCUUAACUACCCGAGUGGUCGAAAGACGGUUUGACUUGAGGACGCGAGAGGGACACGGAAUUCCGGGUGGAGUGGUGAAAUGCGUAGAUAUCUGGAGGAACACCGGUGGCGAAGGCGGCAUCCUGGACCGGUAUUGACGCUGAGGCGCGAAAGCUAGGGGAGCAAACGGG